AUGCCCCCCCCCCCCCCCGGUCCCACAGCACCCUGUGUGCCCCCGGCACAGCCCAUGGGGCAGAGCUGGGCCCUGCUGCGGCCCCAUUGUGGUGGGUGGGGGGUCCCUGUUGCUCCAUUCCCUCACUGGGGGUGCACAAGUUGGGGGUCCCUCUGCUCCACCCAGGCACCUCUGCAGAGCUGGGGGGCAGCCGGUGCCCUCCUGGCACCCAGGAGCAGGAUGACGAUGGGGAACGGCCCUUUUGGGGUGCCCAUUUGCCCUGGGGGGCUGCGUCUGCCCCACUACCCUGCCCUGCUCUGCACCAUCCCAACAGCAGCUUCACCUCUGCGGGGUCUCGUCCUGCACCUUCCCAGACGAGGCACUUCUCUGUCCCCCUCUGCUGGGUUCAUUUUUUUUCCCUUAAAUUCCCUUCCACUCCUUUCCCCGUGCUUUUCCCACCCUGAUGUCCAGUGCCACCAGGCCAGGAGCGGGGUCUGGGCUCCCACAGGGGGGGGCUGCGGGGACAUUUUGGGUGGCACCCAGCGCUCACCCCAGCUCCAGCCACCACGGUUGUGCCUGGUACCACCACCGGGGCGGGCGCGUGGUCCCGGGGGGGGGUCCCUGAACCCCCAGUGGGUGCCGGCCGGCAGUCACGAGGCGGGGGCACGGGGCACGGGGCUCACACCCUCCCUGCUGCCGAACAAGAGGAGCCUUUCAUGGAGAGGGAGCGCGGGGAGGGAACGGGGAGAGGGGGGGAGAAAACUCAAAGCAGAACCAAAGCAAAAGGGCUGGAGGGAGGGAAGGGAGCUGGGCAAAAACGGGGCGCAGCAGGGGAGCAGGGGGGCUGCAGGGAUGAAAAAUGGGGGGCGUGGAUGUGGGCAUUCCCAUCACACCAACGAGGACUGCGGGACAGUGCCAGGGUUGUGCUCAGGGAGAUGGGGAAAGGCUCCUGCAGCUGAAGCCCUCCUGGGAAGGGUCCGACUGCCCCAGAUCGGGGUUUUGGGGGUCCACAGGGACCCCAGCAUGGCCCCCCCUGCCACUGGGGAAGCGACAGCGGCUUCGCCCUGA
This 1047-nucleotide long non-coding RNA is filed under the name Anas platyrhynchos platyrhynchos (common mallard). RNAcentral describes it as "lncRNA (ENSAPLG00000020804.1)". Lineage: Eukaryota; Metazoa; Chordata; Aves; Anseriformes; Anatidae. The record is from RNAcentral.